Molecule: ribosomal RNA, 917 nt
Filed under: uncultured archaeon
Lineage: Archaea
Description: bacterial SSU rRNA
Rfam family: Archaeal small subunit ribosomal RNA
Source: RNAcentral
UUUCCCGGUUGAUCCUGCCCGGAGGUCACUGCUAUUGGGAUUCGACUAAGCCAUGCGAGUCGAGAGGGUUCGGCCCUCGGCAGACGGCUCAGUAACACGUGGAUAAUCUGCUCUUAGGUGGAGGAUAAUCUCGAGAAAUUGAGCAUAAUACUCCAUAACUUUAGAUUGCUGGAAUGCAUUUAAGGCUAAAGCCCCGGCGCCUAAGGAUGAGUCUGCGGCCUAUCAGGUUGUAGUGAGUGUAACGGACUCACUAGCCGACGACGGUUACGGGUCCUGGAAGGGAGUGCCCGGAGAUGGACUCUGAGACACGAGUCCAGGCCCUACGGGGCGCAGCAGCUACGAAAACUUCACAAUGCGGGAAACCGCGAUGAGGGGAUUCCAAGUGCUUAUACUUUGUAUAAGCUGUUUACUUGCCUAAAAAGCAGGUAGAGUAAGGGCUGGGUAAGACUGGUGCCAGCCGCCGCGGUAAUACCAGCAGCUCGAGUGGUGAUCGUUUUUAUUGGGCCUAAAGCGUCCGUAGCCUGUUUGGUAAACCCUUGGGUAAAUCGAGCAGCUUAACUGUUCGAAUUCUGAGGAGACUGCCAGACUUGGGACCGGGAGAGGUCAGAGGUACUCUUAGGGUAGGGGUGAAAUCCUGUAAUCCUAAGAGGACCACCAGUGGCGAAGGCGUCUGACUAGAACGGGUCUGACGGUGAGGGACGAAGCCCUGGGUCACGAACCGGAUUAGAUACCCGGGUAGUCCAGGGUGUAAACGCUGCGGGCUUGGUGUUGGGGGUCCUACGAGGGCAUCCAGUGCCGGAGAGAAGUUGUUAAGCCCGCCGCCUGGGGAGUACGAUCGCAAGAUUGAAACUUAAAGGAAUUGGCGGGGGAGCACAGCAACGGGUGGAGCGUGCGGUUUAAUUGGAUUCAACGCCGGG